GAUGAACGCUGGCGGCGUGCUUAACACAUGCAAGUCGAACGGGAAGGCUCCUGCUUGCAGGGGUACUCGAGUGGCGAACGGGUGAGUAACACGUGGGUGAUCUGCCCUGCACUUCGGGAUAAGCCUGGGAAACUGGGUCUAAUACCGGAUAGGACGAUGGUUUGGAUGCCAUUGUGGAAAGUUUUUUCGGUGUGGGAUGAGCUCGCGGCCUAUCAGCUUGUUGGUGGGGUAAUGGCCUACCAAGGCGUCGACGGGUAGCCGGCCUGAGAGGGUGUACGGCCAAAUUGGGACUGAGAUACGGGCCAGACUCCUACGGGAGGCAGCAGUGGGGAAUAAUGCACAAUGGGCGCAAGCCUGAUGCAGCGACGCCGCGUGGGGGAUGACGGCCUUCGGGUUGUAAACUCCUUUCGCUAGGGACGAAGCGCAAGUGACGGUACCUGGAGAAGAAGCACCGGCUAACUACGUG
Molecule: ribosomal RNA, 466 nt
Filed under: uncultured bacterium
Lineage: Bacteria
Description: partial 16S ribosomal RNA
Rfam family: Bacterial small subunit ribosomal RNA
Source: RNAcentral